UGUUAAAGAUUUCAUCUAUUUCUAUUAAAAUUGGUGUGACUGACAUGAUAACCAAACAGUUAUAUAUGACGUGCCACGUGUAUCUCAUUUUGACAUAAAAGGACCAGUUUUUAAUAGUAAAAAUGGAUGAAAUUUUUAACG
This is a non-coding RNA of Gossypium raimondii (Peruvian cotton), 141 nucleotides long. NCBI's taxonomy places the organism in Eukaryota, Viridiplantae, Streptophyta, Magnoliopsida, Malvales, Malvaceae. The record is from Rfam.